UACGAAGGGGGCGAGCGUUGUUCGGAUUUACUGGGCGUAAAGAGUGCGUAGGCGGUUUCUCAAGUCCGCUGUGAAAUCCCCGGGCUCAACCUGGGAAUGGCAGUGGAAACUAGGAGACUUGAAUCUGGCAGGGGGGGGUGGAAUUCCACGUGUAGCAGUGAAAUGCGUAGAGAUGUGGAGGAACACCGAUGGCGAAGGCAGCCCCCUGGGCUGAGAUUGACGCUCAGGCACGAAAGCGUGGGGAGCAAACAGG
This 253-nucleotide ribosomal RNA is filed under the name uncultured bacterium. RNAcentral describes it as "partial 16S ribosomal RNA". It matches the Rfam family "Bacterial small subunit ribosomal RNA", at positions 524 to 776 of the family's 1533-position model. The record is from RNAcentral.